GAUGAAGAACGUAGCGAAAUGCGAUAAGUAAUGUGAAUUGCAGAAUUCAGUGAAUCAUCGAAUCUUUGAACGCACAUUGCGCCCGCCAGUAUUCUGGCGGGCAUGCCUGUUCGAGCGUCAUUACAACCCUCAGGCCCCCGGGCCUGGCGUUGGGGAUCGGCGAGGCGCCCCCCGCGGGCACGCGCCGUCCCCCAAAUACAGUGGCGGUCCCGCCGCAGCUUCCAUUGCGUAGUAGCUAACACCUCGCAACUGGAGAGCGGCGCGGCCAUGCCGUAAAACACCCAACUUCUGAAUGUUGACCUCGAAUCAGGUAGGAAUACCCGCUGAACUUAAGCAUGUCAAUAAGCGGAGGA
RNAcentral lists this unclassified non-coding RNA (353 nucleotides) under soil metagenome. RNAcentral describes it as "partial contains 5.8S ribosomal RNA, internal transcribed spacer 2, and large subunit ribosomal RNA". The stretch from base 1 to 120 matches the Rfam family "5.8S ribosomal RNA", at positions 35 to 154 of the family's 154-position model. The record is from RNAcentral.